RNAcentral lists this ribosomal RNA (815 nucleotides) under uncultured Planctomycetota bacterium. RNAcentral describes it as "bacterial SSU rRNA". It matches the Rfam family "Bacterial small subunit ribosomal RNA", at positions 45 to 832 of the family's 1533-position model. Lineage: Bacteria; Pseudomonadati; Planctomycetota. The record is from RNAcentral.
GGAUUACGGCAUGCAAGUCGAGCGACGGGUCCUCCUUCGGGAGGAAGACCGAGCGGCGAAAGGGUGAGUAAUAUAUAGGCAACCUACCUUUGGGACGGGGAUAGCGUCGGGAAACCGGCGGUAAUACCCGAUGGCACAUGCGGGUCGCAUGACCUGCUUGUUAAAGGGGGGGGGAUCCUUCGGGACCUUCCGCCCGUGGAGGGGCCUAUAUCCUAUUAGCUUGUUGGUGGGGUAACGGCCUACCAAGGCGAUGAUGGGUAUCCGGGCUGAGAGGUCGACCGGUCACACUGGGACUGAGACACUGCCCAGACUUCUACGGAAGGCUGCAGUCGAGAAUCAUUCGCAAUGGGCGCAAGCCUGACGAUGCGACGCCGCGUGUAUGAUGACGGCCCUCGGGUUGUAAAGUGCUGUCAGGUGUUAAGAAAGGCGGUUGGCAGAAUACGCCGGCCGUUUGACAAAGGCACCAGAGGAAGCCACGGCUAAAUUCGUGCCAGCAGCCGCGGUAACACGAAUGUGGCAAGCGUUGUUCGGAAUUAUUGGGCAUAAAGGGCACGUAGGCGGAAGGGUAAGUUGGUGGUGAAAGCCCUCGGCUCAACCGAGGAAUUGCCUCCAAUACUGCCUUUCUGGAGUACAGGAGGGGAGAGUGGAACUCUUGGUGGAGCGGUGAAAUGCGUUGAUAUCAAGGGGAACGCCGGCGGCGAAAGCGGCUCUCUGGCCUGUUACUGACGCUGAGGUGCGAAAGCUAGGGGAGCAAACGGGAUUAGAUACCCCGGUAGUCCUAGCCGUAAACGAUGGGCACUAAGUAGAGGGAAUUA